GUGCCAGCCGCCGCGGUAAGACGAACCGUGCGAACGUUAUUCGGAAUCAUUGGGCUUAAAGCGCGUGUAGGCGGGUUCGUGCGUCCGACGCUGAAAUCCCCCGGCUCAACCGGGGAACGGGCGGGGAUACGACGAGCCUGGAGGGGCGUAGGGGGACCUGGAACUUCCGGUGGAGCGGUGAAAUGCGUUGAGAUCGGAAGGAACGCCCGUGGCGAAAGCGAGGUCCUGGACGCCUACUGACGCUGAGACGCGAAAGCCAGGGGAGCGAACGGGAUUAGAUACCCCCGUAGUCC
Molecule: ribosomal RNA, 293 nt
Filed under: uncultured bacterium
Lineage: Bacteria
Description: partial 16S ribosomal RNA
Rfam family: Bacterial small subunit ribosomal RNA
Source: RNAcentral